RNAcentral lists this unclassified non-coding RNA (1020 nucleotides) under Hevea brasiliensis (rubber tree). Lineage: Eukaryota; Viridiplantae; Streptophyta; Magnoliopsida; Malpighiales; Euphorbiaceae. The record is from RNAcentral.
GUAUAAGAUUCCUGACCUUUACCCAAGAGAAAAAUUUUAGAAAAACUUGAAAAUGGGGUCAUCUCAAUAACAUUCAUUAAUGGUGGGUCCAAUUUUAACUUCACCAUGGUCCCCAUUUAGGGUACCCUACACCACAAAUUCCAGGCCAAAAAUAGGAUUCAUACACAUCAAUUUGUUCUUCCAUUCCUAACAAGCUCCUUCACUUCCAACCUAAUCACCCCAAAAGAAGAAAAAAGAAGAAGACAUUUGAUUAAAAAAAAAAAAAAAACACUAUGACCCACCGCCCAAAAACAACACUACACCUAUUAUAUAUAAAUAGUAUUAUUUUUGAUAUGCAAAUGGCUACACCCACCCAAUCCAUUCCAUUUCCUAUAUCUUCUGCUGAUGAGUAUUGUUCUCGUUCUCUCCAAGUACCUCCUGAUUCUCCUCCUGCUGCCGCCUUUCACCAGCCUGCGCCGCAACCAUAGCUGCCGGCUGCAGCAACAAUGCAGUAAACGGCAUGUGCCGAUACUCCAAGUCUAGCCUAGAUGGAGCCAGCGUGAACAUCCCUUGCCCCGGACUGCUUCCCACGGGUUGAACCUUACAGGAAAUGGAGGGCGGAGAGACGGAAAUCGGGGUAGGACCAGCAGUGGUGGAAACGGGUUCUGCAGGGACAGUACCGGUGCCGGUAGCAGCUAUGAUGGAAGGCUCAGCUUGACGGAGAAGCCACUCUAUGAUCUCACCAUCAGAACGGUGGCCGAGUUCUCGGGUCAACUGGAAGAUCCGAGCAGCACAAAGAGCAGGCAUCCGAACCCGCCUGCCCCUGCCAUUGACUUUAGUGUGGCGGUCUUUGGAGAUGGAGAUGGAGGAUUUUCGAGCGUGUUGGGUGGUCUUUGGCUGGGAAUCGGUGGUGGGAACUAUUGAGUUGAGGUUUGGGGUUUCCUGGGAGUGAUUUGAGGUGGGUAAACUAUGAAGGACGAUUUGAGAGUCCAUUUGAGAGUUGAAAGCAGAAAAAAAUAUGGAUUUGUUGGCAGAGGAUUU